CUGAAGAGCCAUCAUUGAGGAGGAGAGCACACGGGAUGAGGUCAGGGGAGGAAGGCGAGAUCACGCAGGUCUCGGAGACCAGGCCAGGAACUGGAUUUAUGACACUACAAUGAUGGCUAAUGUGCCAAUAUCCAUAGGAACCUGUAUCCAGGAUCACUGUACCUGUGAAUAAAGUGCAGCUGCUCCAAGUAGACACAGCCUUUUGAAAUAUCUACACACAGGUCUAUAAGGUCAGCCAAGCAGGAUCGGCAUCCCCUGGGAACUUGUAAAGACAAAUUCUCAACCACAUUCCAGGACCUACUGAAUCAGGAACUUGAGCCUCUGUGCUAUGUCAAGCCUUGCCCAAAGCAAGCCGUAACUUUGGACUCUUCAGCCAUAUGUCAAUGAAUUUCAUGGUUGUUGAAAUCAGUUGUUCUCAAGCAUUGCUGCACAUUAGAAUCACCUGUGCAGUUCUUUAAACAUCUCGAUUUCCAGGUUGCAUCCUCUUAAAGUGUGGUCUCUGGAGAUGAAGCCCAGUCCCCUGGAUGUUCUCUGACUCCCCAGAAAAUUCCAAUGUGUCACCAACUUUGAGAACCAAUGGUUUAAACCAUUUUAAAUUAUAUCUUCUGUUCAUUAUAACCAAAACAUCCUGACACAUUUUAAAAAUAUAAUACAGGGUUUUUAUGUUUUAUAACUGGUAGAGUCACCUAUAUAUAAAGUCCUAUUUCUAGCUGACAUCUGAAAACCUCUCACUACUCUUUCUUUGACUUCUUGUUACCAUCCUGUCUUAAUUUUAUGUCCAACUGUCUAGGUAAGGCCUGAGGAAAGACUGCUUCUCCUAUGAAAUAGACUGUGUGAGAUAGAAGUUACAAUCCAAGAGAUCUUUUUUGCUUUCUUUGGCUUUAUGGGCAUUUUUCAAAUAAGCUGAGAUUGCCAGGAGUCUGACCUCAGAGUAGUGCAUUCUCUCUAUAGCAGGCCUGGAGACUGAGAGCUAUCAGAUAGGAUUAAAGUUGAUGACUAUAUUUUUAGCAAGACACAGUAGCAUAUAAACAAAAAUGAUGAGCCAGUGAAAAGUGUAAAAGGAAUGCAAUAAUGUAUCCUAGAACUAAAAAUACUUUCUACAUUACCCAAGGCCUACUACAAAGACAUAAUCUUCAGGCGUAUGAGAGUAAGAACCUUCUAUGUUCUUAUAUAUCACAGAUUUCUGUUUAAAAAACAAAAACAAAAAAAACAAACAAAAAAACUCAACCUACUCUUUUUCCAAAAGCUAAAAAACGAUUCUAGCAACUCCUAACCUUCUGGCACUUGAAUCGUGUCCAUGCUUCAUGCUAAAAAUGAUUUUUAAAAAAUAUCUUUAUUGAUUUCAGAGACUAAAGAAGAGGGAGAGAGAGAGACAGAAAUAUUGAUUUGAGAGAAUCAUCGAUUGGCUGCUUUCUGCACACUCCACACUGGGGAUCAAGCCUACAACCCAGGCAUGUGCCCUGACUGGGAACUGAACCAUGAUCUCCUGGUUCAUAUGUCAAUGCUCAAUCACUGAGCCACACUGGCCAGGCUAAAAGAGAUUAUUGAUUACUUUUUUCAGUUAAAAUGAAAUCGGGUUAAUCUUGCUUGGUUAUUUAUAAUGAGAUGCACUACAGUUUUCUAAAUAACAAGUUAACUGUAUUUUAUCUCUUUUUAAAUUUAGUUUUUAUUAAAGUAUGGUUGACAUACAAUAUUAUAUUCAUUUCAGGUGUACAACAUGGUAACCUGACAUUUAUUUAUAUACCUUAUGAUGUGAUCACAAUAAGUCUAGUAACCAUCUGUUAGCAUACAAAGCUAUUAUGGCAUUAUUUCCCUAUACUGUACAUUAUUAUCUCUUUGUGACUUUUAUUCUAUAACUAGAAGUUUGUGCCUCUUAUUUCCCUUCACUCUUUUCCACCCAUCUUCCCACCUCUAUCUCCUCUGGCAACCAUCAAGAUAAGGCAAACUACCAAAAAUUUCCAUCUUAUAUUUAAAAAAUUUAAAUCAAUUAUGACAAUCAAAUGAAAGAGAAAUUUUGCUUAUACCAAAAUCUUACUGUAACAGUAUUUCCUUUCAGAUUCUACCUUAACUAUACACAAUAAGCAGACAGUAUAAUCAUAACUAUACAAUAGCACUACUCAGAAUUAUUAAAUAAUCAGCUCUUAUUUUUAUUUUGUCACCUUUU
This is a long non-coding RNA of Myotis daubentonii (Daubenton's bat), 2164 nucleotides long. RefSeq lists it as uncharacterized. Lineage: Eukaryota; Metazoa; Chordata; Mammalia; Chiroptera; Vespertilionidae. The record is from RefSeq and is a predicted model, not a curated record.